ACGGGGUGCACCUCGUGCGAAAACUUCGCAAUGUGGGAAACCACGACGAGGGGAUUCCAAGUGCCAAUGCUUUGCAUUGGCUGUUCUCCUGUCUAAAAAACAGGAGCAGUAAGGGCCGGGUAAGACGGGUGCCAGCCGCCGCGGUAAUACCCGCGGCCCAAGUGGUGUUCGAUAUUAUUGAGCUUAAAGCGUCCGUAGCCUGUCCUGUAAAUCUUCGGGUAAAUCGUGCAGCUUAACUGUUCGAAUUCCGAGGAGACUGCAGGACUUGGGACCGGGAGAAGUCGGAGGUACCUCUGGGGUAGGGGUAAAAUCCUGUAAUCCCAGAGGGACCACCAGUGGCGAAGGCGUCCGACCAGAACGGAUCCGACGGUGAGGGACGAAGCCCUGGGGCGCAAACGGGAUUAGAUACCCCGGUAGUCCAGGGUGUAAACGCUGCGGGCUUGGUGUCGGGGGUCCUACGUGGGCGCCCGGUGCCGGAGAGAAAUUGUUAAGCCUGCCGCUUGGGGAGUACGGUCGCAAGACUGAAACUUAAAAGGAAUUGGCGGGGGGAGCACCGCCAUCGGGGAG
This 567-nucleotide ribosomal RNA is filed under the name uncultured euryarchaeote. RNAcentral describes it as "bacterial SSU rRNA". It matches the Rfam family "Archaeal small subunit ribosomal RNA", at positions 325 to 892 of the family's 1478-position model. The record is from RNAcentral. Lineage: Archaea; Methanobacteriati; Methanobacteriota.